GACGAACGCUGGCGGCGUGCUUAACACAUGCAAGUCGAACGGAAAGGCCCUGCUUUUGUGGGGUGCUCGAGUGGCGAACGGGUGAGUAACACGUGAGUAACCUGCCCUUGACUUUGGGAUAACUUCAGGAAACUGGGGCUAAUACCGGAUAGGAGCUCCUGCUGCAUGGUGGGGGUUGGAAAGUUUCGGCGGUUGGGGAUGGACUCGCGGCUUAUCAGCUUGUUGGUGGGGUAGUGGCUUACCAAGGCUUUGACGGGUAGCCGGCCUGAGAGGGUGACCGGACACAUUGGGACUGAGAUACGGCCCAGACUCCUACGGGAGGCAGCAGUGGGGAAUAUUGCACAAUGGGCGGAAGCCUGAUGCAGCCACGCCGCGUGCGGGAUGACGGCCUUCGGGUUGUAAACCGCUUUCGCCUGUGACGAAGCGUGAGUGACGGUAAUGGGUAAAGAAGCACCGGCUAACUACGUG
This 468-nucleotide ribosomal RNA is filed under the name uncultured bacterium. RNAcentral's name for it is "partial 16S ribosomal RNA". It matches the Rfam family "Bacterial small subunit ribosomal RNA", at positions 28 to 507 of the family's 1533-position model. The record is from RNAcentral.